GACGAACGCUGGCGGCGUGCUUAACACGUGCAAGUCGAACGGAAAGGCCCUGCUUUUGUGGGGUGCUCGAGUGGCGAACGGGUGAGUAACACGUGAGUAACCUGCCCUUGACUUUGGGAUAACUUCAGGAAACUGGGGCUAAUACCGGAUAGGAGCUCCUGCUGCAUGGUGGGGGUUGGAACGUUUCGGCGGUUGGGGAUGGACUCGCGGCUUAUCAGCUUGUUGGUGGGGUAGUGGCUUACCAAGGCUUUGACGGGUAGCCGGCCUGAGAGGGUGACCGGCCACAUUGGGACUGAGAUACGGACCAGACUCCUACGGGAGGCAGCAGUGGGGAAUAUUGCACAAUGGGCGGAAGCCUGAUGCAGCAACGCCGCGUGCGGGAUGACGGCCUUCGGGUUGUAAACCGCUUUCGCCUGUGACGAAGCGUGAGUGACGGUAAUGGGUAAAGAAGCACCGGCUAACUACGUG
RNAcentral lists this ribosomal RNA (468 nucleotides) under uncultured bacterium. Its description in RNAcentral is "partial 16S ribosomal RNA". It matches the Rfam family "Bacterial small subunit ribosomal RNA", at positions 28 to 507 of the family's 1533-position model. The record is from RNAcentral.